UUCUUUAUGGAUUUUAUAUAAAGUAAUUUCUGCCCAAUGAAUAAUUUUAUUUAAAUGGCUGCAGUAUAUUGACUGUACAAAGGUAGCAUAGUAAUUAGUUUUUUAAUUGGGAACUUGUAUGAAAGGAUACAUGAAAAAUUUUCUUUAUUAAUUUUAAAAUUAAAAUUUUAUUUUUUGGUAAGAAAGCUAAAUUGUUUUUUAGGGACGAUAAGACCCUAUAGAAUUUAAAAUUUAUUUUAAUUAGAAUGUUAUUUAGAUUAAAUUUAUUUUUUUUAAUUUAAAUUUUUAAUUGGGGUGAUUAAUAAAUUUAUAUCUUUUUUUUAUAAAUUCAUAUAUAUAUAUGUUUUUUUUGAUCCUUAAAUUUAAGAUUGUAAGAGAAAUUACCUUAGGGAUAACAGCGUAAUUUUAAUGUAAAGUUCAUAUUUAAAUUAAAGUUUGCGACCUCGAUGUUGAAUUAAGAGUAAUUUAUGGUGUAGAUGCUAUGAUUUUAAGUCUGUUCGACUUUUAUAAUCUUACA
Molecule: ribosomal RNA, 517 nt
Filed under: Glaberana acontata
Lineage: Eukaryota; Metazoa; Arthropoda; Insecta; Hemiptera; Cicadellidae
Description: partial large subunit ribosomal RNA
Source: RNAcentral